GGUUUGAUUUGGGUUUUACACCAAUACGUAUUCCAUUCUGUUAAACUAUGUAUUUAACUACCAAGAAUACUCCCAACUACACCCUUACAAUCAAACAAACUAUAAAAUCAUCAGAAGAUCCAGAAUAAUAAAGUGCAUGCCUAAUUAUCGGAAGAAGUAGAAUCAGGAAGUUUGUUAACUAAAUCCUGCAUGCUGAUUUGUAAUUACAAUAGAUUGGAGUAAGGAUUGGAUCCGACACUGAAGGACUUCAAGAAGUGGCUUAUUUUCAAAUUAAGAAAUAUUGUUUUUAUUAAAAGCUACCUUUGUA
RNAcentral lists this long non-coding RNA (307 nucleotides) under Helianthus annuus (common sunflower). RNAcentral's name for it is "hypothetical non coding rna". The record is from RNAcentral. Lineage: Eukaryota; Viridiplantae; Streptophyta; Magnoliopsida; Asterales; Asteraceae.